CCUACGGGUGGCUGCAGUGGGGAAUAUUGCACAAUGGGGGAAACCCUGAUGCAGCAACGCCGCGUGAGUGAAGAAGUAUUUCGGUAUGUAAAGCUCUAUCAGCAGGGAAGAAGAUGACGGUACCUGAGUAAGAAGCCCCGGCUAACUACGUGCCAGCAGCCGCGGUAAUACGUAGGGGGCAAGCGUUAUCCGGAUUUACUGGGUGUAAAGGGAGCGUAGACGGCUGCGCAAGUCUGAAGUGAAAGCCCGGGGCUCAACCCCGGGACUGCUUUGGAAACUGUGUAGCUAGAGUGCUGGAGAGGCAAGCGGAAUUCCUAGUGUAGCGGUGAAAUGCGUAGAUAUUAGGAAGAACACCAGUGGCGAAGGCGGCUUGCUGGACAGUAACUGACGUUGAGGCUCGAAAGCGUGGGGAGCAAACAGGAUUAGAUACCCUUGUAGUC
RNAcentral lists this ribosomal RNA (440 nucleotides) under uncultured bacterium. RNAcentral's name for it is "partial 16S ribosomal RNA". It matches the Rfam family "Bacterial small subunit ribosomal RNA", at positions 338 to 795 of the family's 1533-position model. The record is from RNAcentral.